Unclassified non-coding RNA from Papio anubis (olive baboon), 117 nucleotides. It matches the Rfam family "Metazoan signal recognition particle RNA". From Rfam's summary of the family: The signal recognition particle (SRP) is a universally conserved ribonucleoprotein. It is involved in the co-translational targeting of proteins to membranes. The record is from Ensembl. Lineage: Eukaryota; Metazoa; Chordata; Mammalia; Primates; Cercopithecidae.
GCUGGGCAUGGUGGCUCAUGCCUGUAAUCCCAGUACUUUGGGAGGCUGAGGCGGGUGGAUCACCUGAGGUCAGGAGUUCGAGACCAGCCUGACCAACAUGGUGAAACCCUGUCUCUA